RNAcentral lists this transfer RNA (87 nucleotides) under Thioalkalivibrio sp. RNAcentral describes it as "tRNA-Leu". It matches the Rfam family "tRNA". Rfam says of the family: Transfer RNA (tRNA) molecules are approximately 80 nucleotides in length. Their secondary structure includes four short double-helical elements and three loops (D, anti-codon, and T loops). Lineage: Bacteria; Pseudomonadati; Pseudomonadota; Gammaproteobacteria; Chromatiales; Ectothiorhodospiraceae. The record is from RNAcentral.
GGGGGCGUGGCGGAAUUGGUAGACGCAGCGGACUUAAAAUCCGCUGACCGCAAGGUCGUGCCGGUUCGAUUCCGGCCGUCCCCACCA